CAUAGGACAGCAUUAUGCUUCUAUGGAGAAUUAGUGAUAUCUGCUUCCGAAGAUGACUAAUUUGUGAAAUGAUUUGCCUAAAAGUAGGUAAUAGCAGAAAAACAGAUUAGAGAAACAUUUGAUGCCCUUCAUUUGCUGUACGUGAUUUUGAGCGUCAUUCACAGGCGCGCCAAAUUCCUUUUAUGCGCAUCAGGAAUCAUGUGGUCGUAAAAAUAGUCGUAUUUUAUAAACAGUUUAAUAUAUCGAAACGACAGCAAGUAAAGAGGAGACAUUCUGUCGUACGAUUAACGUUUGAAACGUUUUGGUCAAAUGUUUGAGCGGAGGGAAGACAAGAGUCCUUAUAAAUUACAUAAUCAGUAUUUGUCCAAUUUUUCGUAACCAAACAAAGAGUGGGAUACGGGCGAUUGGAGUAUCAAACUGACCACCUUGAGGUCCAGUUUUGCAAAGAAAAAUUUAGCGCUUGAAAGUAAUCAGGGUGAUUAAGGAAACCUUAAUUAGUAAUAUGAGGAAGAAUUGAAAUAUUUCAUGAACAGUUGCUGCAAGUGUAAAUUACAGUCAAAAAGUCACUCUAUUCAAGGCUUGCCUUCUUUGCACAUGAAAAGAUACAAUGAUGUGAUAUUUAACUAUCAGAAAUGCUUCCUUGGAAUCAAGUUCUAAAUUUAGGAUUUUCGAGAACGGAAGGUGCAAGGAAGGUUAUUAAGGUGUCAGUCUCAUGCUUUAUGAAUAAACUUGAAAAUAAAAAAUGAAAGAAAUCUGCCAAAUAUUUUGUGAUAUGAUUUAUCCAAAAGAAAUAAAAUAGAUCAGAGAAACAUUUGACAUACCUUUGAAUGAUACUCAAAAUAAUGUACAGCAGGUGAGGCGCAUCAAAUAUUUUUCUAAUCUGUUUUAUUUUUUACUUUGACGCAAAUCAUUUCAUAAAUUGGUCAUCUUCGGAAGAUUAGUAUCAUCGGUUUUGCCUAUGUUAGUGCCUUCUCCAGAAAAGCAUAAUGGCAUCAUAUUUCCGGAAAACUACACAUUGUAUAUGAAUAUUGUAAACACAGUUGACUAUUUACAAUAACUGAAUUAGGUUUAUGUAUAUGUCAAGCUGUUGUGUUUUAUUAGGAAUUUUAUGGGUGUUAUGUAAUGAGAUUGGUGUGUGUACACUUAAAGAUCAAGUACUUAGGCAAUACCUUAAAAAUAUACUUUGAGAUACAAUGUAAAGAGUGUAGAUAAAACUUAGUGCACAUAACAGAUGAUAGGAUUGUGUUUCAGUCAUGUAAAAUAUCAGAAGCAACUGGGAUCGAACUCAACACCCUCGGCAAAUGACGCUACCAUUACACCACAGAAAACUGUUGCAAGAUACCUCUAAUUGUUUGCUAUUAGUCAGUCAUUCUUCUGCACUUAUCAGCCAAUGAAAGUUCUUUGUCGGAUAAGAAACACUAGUCUUUAAUUUAUUGAUGAGGUAGUUGAACGAAUCCUGCUCAUACCCAGAUUUCGAAUGAUUUGUCUGGUGGCCUUCAUUGCUGAUGAUAUAAAUAAGUAUGAAAUUCUCCAUCAAGAGUUCUUUGUAAAUUUCAUGCACAGCAUCCCUUUGUCACCUUACUUUCCUAACUGAGGCUAAUUUUGCAGGCUUACUCUUGAGCUACAAGAUUCUACGAUUUAUAGGCAUCUUUUUAUAGAAACAGCUGCAUUUCCACAAUUAUUUGGUUAAGACUGCAAAUGCAAGAGGGCUCUGGAUUUCACAUUUGCAACACCUCUCAUAAAUGGAUCCUGCAUGACGAGCUUUUCACUCACUGAAUUUCCAUUAAUGAGGAGAGGUGCAAAGGGAUGCGGAUUUUCUGUCAAUGAACCAACUGUCAUUCAGCACAUGUAAAGUUCAUGACUGUGACGUCCAAUACGAAUAAGUGUUUUCCGUUGUGGAGCAGAAGAGGCUCAGUGGAGACUGGGAGGCAAGGCUCAUACAUUAAUGAUUGGAGCCAGUGUGUUGGUUAGUCUGGAUUUGGUUUUUAGAUGGUUUUCCACAGCUACCCAGGU
Schistocerca nitens (vagrant locust) is the source of this 2013-nucleotide long non-coding RNA. RefSeq lists it as uncharacterized. The record is from RefSeq and is a predicted model, not a curated record. The transcript is spliced from 3 exons. NCBI's taxonomy places the organism in Eukaryota, Metazoa, Arthropoda, Insecta, Orthoptera, Acrididae.